This 253-nucleotide ribosomal RNA is filed under the name uncultured bacterium. RNAcentral describes it as "partial 16S ribosomal RNA". It matches the Rfam family "Archaeal small subunit ribosomal RNA", at positions 474 to 727 of the family's 1478-position model. The record is from RNAcentral.
UACCAGCACCCCGAGUGGUCGGGACGAUUAUUGGGCCUAAAGCAUCCGUAGCCGGUUCUGCAAGUCCCCCGUUAAAUCCAGCUGCUCAACAGAUGGGCCGCGGAGGAUACUACAGAGCUAGGAGGCAGGAGAGGCAAGCGGUACUCAGUGGGUAGGGGUAAAAUCCGUUGAUCCAUUGAAGACCACCAGUGGCGAAGGCGGCUUGCCAGAAUGCGCUCGACGGUGAGGGAUGAAAGCUGGGGGGGCAAACCGG